This is a long non-coding RNA of Mytilus trossulus (common blue mussel), 712 nucleotides long. RefSeq lists it as uncharacterized. The transcript is spliced from 5 exons. The record is from RefSeq and is a predicted model, not a curated record. NCBI's taxonomy places the organism in Eukaryota, Metazoa, Mollusca, Bivalvia, Mytilida, Mytilidae.
AGUUUAAAGAUCUACUGUUCGUUUUUAUUUGAUUCAAGUCCAGUCAAUUUAAUACACGUUUCGUAAAGAUCCUUGUCCAGUCAAAGUGUUCCUUGUCCAGUCAAUGUGAUUCUUGUCCAGGCAAAGUGAUCCUUGUCCAGUCAAUGUGAUCCUUGUCCAGUCAAUGUGAUCCUUGUCCAGUCAACGUGAUCCUUGUCCAGUCAAUGUGAUCCUUGUCUAGUCAAUGUGAUACUUGUCCAUGCAGUCAAUGUGAUCCUUGUCCAGUCAAUGUGAUCCUUUGUCCAUGCAGUCAAUGUGAUCCUUGCCCAUGCAGUCAAUGUGAUCCUUGUCCAGUCAAGUUAUUAUAGAUCUGGGAAAGUGCAAUAGAUGAUUUGGUGUUUGAUGGAAAAAGUCACACCCUGCUUGUAGAAUACAUUUGUACCUCAUUCAAUAGAUGUUCUGGUGUUUGAUGGAAAAAGUCAAACCCUGCUUGUAGAAUACAUUUGUACCUCAUUCAAUAGAUGUUCUGGUGUUUGAUGGAAAGAGUCACACCCUGCUUGUAGAAUACAUUUGUACCUCAUUUAGUCACACCCUGUUUGUAGAAUACAUUGGUACCUCAUUCAGGCUAUAAUGGAAAGUUGGAAUAAGAAACUUACUACAGCUGCUUGGAAGGGAGAUAUAGAAGCCUUAAAAUUAAGCCUACAGAAUGGUGCAGACAUUGAUUAUCAAGGUG